UACGUAGGGCGCAAGCGUUGUCCGGAAUUAUUGGGCGUAAAGAGCUCGUAGGCGGCCUGUUGCGUCCGCUGUGAAAUCCCGGGGCUUAACCCCGGGCCUGCAGUGGAUACGGGCAGGCUGGAGGCAGGCAGGGGAGAACGGAAUUCCCGGUGUAGCGGUGAAAUGCGCAGAUAUCGGGAGGAACACCGGUGGCGAAGGCAGGUCUCUGGGCCAUUACUGACGCUGAGAAGCGAAAGCAUGGGGAGCGAACAGG
RNAcentral lists this ribosomal RNA (253 nucleotides) under uncultured bacterium. RNAcentral's name for it is "partial 16S ribosomal RNA". It matches the Rfam family "Bacterial small subunit ribosomal RNA", at positions 524 to 776 of the family's 1533-position model. The record is from RNAcentral.